Molecule: ribosomal RNA, 497 nt
Filed under: uncultured bacterium
Lineage: Bacteria
Description: partial 16S ribosomal RNA
Rfam family: Bacterial small subunit ribosomal RNA
Source: RNAcentral
GAUGAACGCUGGCGGCGUGCCUAAUACAUGCAAGUCGAGCGAACGGGCGAGAAGCUUGCUUCUCUGAUGUUAGCGGCGGACGGGUGAGUAACACGUGGAUAACCUACCUAUAAGACUGGGAUAACUUCGGGAAACCGGAGCUAAUACCGGAUAAUAUUUUGAACCGCAUGGUUCAAAAGUGAAAGACGGUCUUGCUGUCACUUAUAGAUGGAUCCGCGCUGCAUUAGCUAGUUGGUAAGGUAACGGCUUACCAAGGCAACGAUGCAUAGCCGACCUGAGAGGGUGAUCGGCCACACUGGAACUGAGACACGGUCCAGACUCCUACGGGAGGCAGCAGUAGGGAAUCUUCCGCAAUGGGCGAAAGCCUGACGGAGCAACGCCGCGUGAGUGAUGAAGGUCUUCGGAUCGUAAAACUCUGUUAUUAGGGAAGAACAUAUGUGUAAGUAACUGUGCACAUCUUGACGGUACCUAAUCAGAAAGCCACGGCCAACUACGUG